GGGUGUGAGGGUGAUCUAGCUGUGACAUCUGUCACCCCAUUGAUUGCUAGGGUUGAUUCAGCUGACCUGGCUGGCCAGGCAAGUGUCCCCUUCCUCCCUCACUGCUCCAUGUGCGUCCCUCCGGAAGCUGCACGCUAGGUCAAAGAGGACAACCACCUCCGAUAGAGGAGGACGCUUUCCUCAGUCAAGGGUGUACAAAUAACUGUGCUCCCCUGCUAGAACCUCCAAACACUCUCAAAUACUAUUCCUUACACAGGAAACUAAAGACAGAAGCCAGAAAAGCAUCAGAUAUUUUGAAAAGAGUCAAGUGGUC
RNAcentral lists this small nuclear RNA (313 nucleotides) under Heterocephalus glaber (naked mole-rat). Its description in RNAcentral is "7SK RNA". It matches the Rfam family "7SK RNA". From Rfam's summary of the family: 7SK was discovered as an abundant small nuclear RNA in the mid-70s but a possible function has only recently been suggested. Two independent studies have found that 7SK RNA binds the CDK9/cyclin T complex (known as elongation factor P-TEFb). The record is from Rfam by way of RNAcentral. Lineage: Eukaryota; Metazoa; Chordata; Mammalia; Rodentia; Bathyergidae.